This 72-nucleotide transfer RNA is filed under the name Colinus virginianus (northern bobwhite). Its description in RNAcentral is "tRNA-Asn". The record is from RNAcentral. Lineage: Eukaryota; Metazoa; Chordata; Aves; Galliformes; Odontophoridae.
CUAGACAGAUGGGCUUCGAUCCCAUUAAACCCUAGUUAACAGCUAGGUGCCUUACCCUUUAGCUUCUGCCUA